UUGACCUCGGAUCAGGUAGGGAUACCCGCUGAACUUAAGCAUAUCAAUAAGCGGAGGAAAAGAAACCAACAGGGAUUGCCCCAGUAACGGCGAGUGAAGCGGCAAGAGCUCAAAUUUGAAAGCUGGCUCCUUCGGGGUCCGCAUUGUAAUUUGCAGAGGAUGCUUCGGGAGCGGUCCCCAUCUAAGUGCCCUGGAACGGGACGUCAUAGAGGGUGAGAAUCCCGUAUGGGAUGGGGUGUCCGCGCCCGUGUGAAGCUCCUUCGACGAGUCGAGUUGUUUGGGAAUGCAGCUCUAAAUGGGUGGUAAAUUUCAUCUAAAGCUAAAUAUUGGCCGGAGACCGAUAGCGCACAAGUAGAGUGAUCGAAAGAUGAAAAGCACUUUGAAAAGAGAGUUAAAAAGCACGUGAAAUUGUUGAAAGGGAAGCGCUUGCGACCAGACUCGCUCGCGGGGUUCAGCCGGCAUUCGUGCCGGUGUAUUUCCCCGCGGGCGGGCCAGCGUCGGUUUGGGCGGUCGGUCAAAGGCCCUCGGAAGGUAACGCCCCUAGGGGCGUCUUAUAGCCGAGGGUGCAAUGCGACCUGCCUAGACCGAGGAACGCGCUUCGGCUCGGACGCUGGCAUAAUGGUCGUAAGCGACCC
This 635-nucleotide ribosomal RNA is filed under the name Penicillium expansum. RNAcentral's name for it is "eukaryotic LSU rRNA". It matches the Rfam family "Eukaryotic large subunit ribosomal RNA", at positions 1 to 650 of the family's 3401-position model. The record is from RNAcentral. Lineage: Eukaryota; Fungi; Ascomycota; Eurotiomycetes; Eurotiales; Aspergillaceae.